UGGGGUGUUGUGGCCAGGCGCAGUGGCUCACCUGUAAUUCUCAAUCCAGCAAUCUAUCAGCUCACAAAGAAGGGUUUGGCAGAGUCAGAAUGGAUCUGAAGCAGCACAGCAGAAAUAAAAACAGAGCUAGGGACAUAAUCUAGGAAAAGGUUGGGAUUGAAAGGGUGGAGGAUGGUUGUCAAAAAGGGAGAUUUUCUGUUUACUUGAGAUCUGCAGAGUAGGUCCAAGUGUCCUCGUCGUAGGUGAACACACGUGCACACACACAAAUGGUAACUGUGUGUGAUGAUGGACGUGCUGAUUAAUUUGAUUGUGGUAAUGGUUUCACAAUAUACCCCCAUAUCAAAUCAUCACACUGCAUACCUUGAAUGUAUGCAAUUUUGGGGGAUCAAUUAUGCCCCAAUAAAGCCUAAAAUAAAAAAAAAUUAAAAAAAAAAAAAGGAAGCUCAUCAAGGUGACCUGUCUACAGAGGCAAGGACAGGGACUGAGCUUCAGGAGCUCUAGUUUGCCUGCUGGGUAGGGACAGAUGUUUAAGUUAAAAGUCUCUGAAAGAGGCGGGUCUGGAUCUCCUGGGGAGAGUGUUUGGCAUUCCCUAGUAAGAAAGAGAAAAAAAAAAGGUGGUCUUGAGGUCAGGAAGGCUGGUGGCUUCAUAGCUGUCUGGGAUCCUUGGGGCAAGGCAAGGGGCUCCUGCUUGCACCUUCAGCCUGGUUGAUGAGCUGACAGGCUGGUGGCCCCAGAAGCCCCCCUGGACAGUAGCACCCACUGGACCCUAACACCCAUCUCCACCACCAGGGAGGAGGAAGGGCAAGCCAUGUCUGACUGCCCCUUCAAGCACUGGCUCCAAGAGAGCAGUGGGUGAUGGGGAAGAGCCUGCCUGCUCCCAGCCCCCCUCCCUGGGAGCCAGCAGCCCUGAGGAGCAUGGGCAGGCAGUACUGAGCUCCUCAACCCGACUCUCCUCCCUAUCCCAAGAAGCCCUUUGAAAGGUUUUCCUGGCAGAGUUUAAAGCUUCAAUUCAUUCAGCUACCUGGCAUGAGGCCCAGGAUGAGGGGAUGCUGGGAAGGACCUAGCCCCACACCCCUACUCUUACCUUAGCUGCCCCCACUUUCCUGGGACCCUGGCUAGCAGGCCUCCCACUGGCCUCUCUCCAUCCAGUAGCACCCACCCCUGUUCC
Molecule: long non-coding RNA, 1168 nt
Filed under: Homo sapiens (human)
Lineage: Eukaryota; Metazoa; Chordata; Mammalia; Primates; Hominidae
Description: HSALNT0236768
Source: RNAcentral